This 429-nucleotide ribosomal RNA is filed under the name Gemmatimonadota bacterium. Its description in RNAcentral is "Gemmatimonadetes bacterium partial 16S ribosomal RNA". It matches the Rfam family "Bacterial small subunit ribosomal RNA", at positions 355 to 776 of the family's 1533-position model. The record is from RNAcentral. Lineage: Bacteria; Pseudomonadati; Gemmatimonadota.
UAGGGAAUCUUCGGCAAUGGACGAAAGUCUGACCGAGCAACGCCGCGUGAGUGAAGAAGGUUUUCGGAUCGUAAAACUCUGUUGUUAGAGAAGAACAAGGACGUUAGUAACUGAACGUCCCCUGCCGGUAUCUAACCAGAAAGCCACGGCUAACUACGUGCCAGCAGCCGCGGUAAUACGUAGGUGGCAAGCGUUGUCCGGAUUUAUUGGGCGUAAAGCGAGCGCAGGCGGUUUCUUAAGUCUGAUGUGAAAGCCCCCGGCUCAACCGGGGAGGGUCAUUGGAAACUGGGAGACUUGAGUGCAGAAGAGGAGAGUGGAAUUCCAUGUGUAGCGGUGAAAUGCGUAGAUAUAUGGAGGAACACCAGUGGCGAAGGCGGCUCUCUGGUCUGUAACUGACGCUGAGGCUCGAAAGCGAGGGGAGCAAACAGG